Molecule: transfer RNA, 59 nt
Filed under: Passiflora manicata
Lineage: Eukaryota; Viridiplantae; Streptophyta; Magnoliopsida; Malpighiales; Passifloraceae
Description: partial tRNA-Leu
Source: RNAcentral
GGAUUGAGCCUUGGUAUGGAAAAUCCGUCMACUUUAGAAAUGGUUCAAGUCCCUCUAUC